UACGUAGGGCGCAAGCGUUGUCCGGAAUUAUUGGGCGUAAAGAGCUCGUAGGCGUCUGUCGCGUCCGUUGUGAAAACUCGAGGCUCAACCUUGGGCUUGCAGUGGGUACGGGCAGACUAGAGUGCGGUAGGGGUGACUGGAAUUCCUGGUGUAGCGGUGGAAUGCGCAGAUAUCAGGAGGAACACCGAUGGCGAAGGCAGGUCACUGGGCCGCAACUGACGCUGAGGAGCGAAAGCAUGGGGAGCGAACGG
This 251-nucleotide ribosomal RNA is filed under the name uncultured bacterium. RNAcentral describes it as "partial 16S ribosomal RNA". It matches the Rfam family "Bacterial small subunit ribosomal RNA", at positions 524 to 775 of the family's 1533-position model. The record is from RNAcentral.